AUGGGCAUCCUUGAUCCUCCUCCUUCCUGGCCGACCAACCAACCAAGAAUGGCGCCACCACGGAGGAAUCCCACCCUCACCCUGCACACUUAUUUCUACAUCUGCCUUCUUCUCCUCCUGUCCACGGCAACCAUAUCCGCCGCAGUCACCGCUUCCUCCUACUACACCGCCUGCCCUUCCCUGUCGCCCGCUCAAGACCGCCACACCAAAGCCGACGACACCCUUUCGCUCGUCCGCUCCUUCCAGAUCUCUACCGGCAAGUUCUCCCGCGGCGCCGAUGGCCCCUUUUUCCCCGGCGAUGACCCCUACAACGCCCGCUCCUUCUACUUCUUCCCACACGGCGCCUCCCGCACGGACGACCCGGCUCUCGUCCACCUCGCCGCCACCUUCACCCUCAACGACCCCUUCCGUAAUGACAGCGGCGCCGACUCCGUCUCCUUCUUCCUCGACGGUUACUACUCCUCAACCACACUGGAGCUCUGCAUGGUUGGGACGGGCACAGAGCGCACCGAAGAUGGCUCUCUCAAGCACUACCCCGACGUCGCCCUCCGCCUCCGCGUCCCCAGUCCUCCCACCCUCGCCGAUCCCUUCGUGACUGGCAGCCUGGAGGGCGGCGCCGGCCUCGGAACCAUCCGCCUCCUCGCGUAUGCCGAGGGCGACCACUACGAGUACGGCUCCGAGCGAGCGGCCUGCAGCCCCAGCCCACCGAAGCAGCCGGCCAGCGGCUCGCUCAGGGUGCUCGGCGGCAACCACCCUUUGUCCGUGUGCGCACACCUGACACCACAGCUCAUGACCUCGUACAGGCUGAGGCUGGAGCACGGCGGCACUCUGCUUCCCUGGAUGCGCGUAAACCAGGUGCACUGCGCCGUGGACGGCGCCGGCGUGCACGUGCGCGCCUACGCGGUGCUCUCGAACGACACCACGCCGACCGAGACGCGCGAGUACUACCGCCGCCAACGACGCUUCUUGGUCCGCGAGGAGGCCGUCGUGGCCGACGGGCAGUGGGACACGGAUCGCCGCAUGCUCUGCCUCAGGGCGUGCCGGGUGGAGCUCCCGGUGCUGCCGUCUGCUCCGGCGGUGCCAGAGCAUGGAUGCGGGAUCGGGAUGAGCUUCUGGUUCCCGGCCGUGUGGACGAUGCGGGAGCGGAGCGUCGUUGCCGGGAUGCUCUGGAACUCGACCCAAGCCGGCGCUGGACUGAUAACAGCGUCGAGCAUGGACGGCCAAAGAAGCUCCACCAACCUCUCCGACGUGAAGUACAGCUACAACGACACGCUGCUCAACGACGCCAUGAAGCAUUACCUCAAGAUCAGCAAGGAGAAGAAGAUCACCGUGGGUUCGCACUUGUUCCCGGAUUUUAACACAACUCACCGUGACUUUGAGUUCGGUUUCUACGGGCCGGUCAUCGGGAGCGGACACGCGGACCCUGUCACAAUCGGCUCGGCGAUGGUCGCCGGCAAUAUGCUGGCCGCCGACGAUGCCUUCUCCUGGCAGCCUGCGGUGGUUGACGACACAAAGCAGGAUCUGCUGGUGAAUGUCAGCUACGACAUACGCUACUCUGCUCCACGUGACAACUGGGUGCGUGCUAGCAGUAAUAUGUCCUACUACUCAAACUACUCGAUGAGGCCUCAGAGAAGACGCAUCUCGGCGGAGGGCCUCUAUGAUCCGAAGAGGGGUCUCCUGUGCAUGGUGGGCUGCCAAGAGCGCAACGGCUCGACGGACUGCCAGAUUCUUGUGACGGUGCAGUUCGCCGCGGUUGAUUCCAUGGCGCACGAGCACGGAACAGGGGUGAUCAGCAGCCUUAGGGACAAGACCGAUGGCCUUUUCUUCGAGAAGAUCCAGUUCACUUUGUAUGGGAUGUAUGCGACAGAAGUGUCCGAAGCCAUAUUGAGGAUGGACCUCGAGAGCAUCAUGUCGAUGGCCUCCACGACGCUGUCGUGCGUCUUCAUCGUCCUGCAGAUCCUCCACACCAGGAGGAACCCGGAGGUGGCUCCGGCGACGUCGGUCACCAUGCUCACCGUGCUCACCAUGGGGCACCUUGCCCCUCUCGCGCUCAAUACCGAGGCCCUGUUUGCAAGCCGGAGGAGCCGGUACUUUCCCUAUGAGUACUCGACCAGCCGGUGGAUCGAGAUGAACGAGGUGGUGAUGAGGGCGCCCACGCUGAUCGCCUUCGUGCUGCAGCUGCGCCUUCUUCAACUCGUGUGGUCCGGCCGCCGAACGUCCACCCUGUCCGACAGGACCGUGCUGUGGAUAUGUGUGCCCUUGUAUGUGCUUGGAGGAGUCCUGGCCGCGGUCGUCCACAUGAUCAAUGCUCAUGCCGCCACGAGCCGCAACCCGUCGGGCAUCGUCAUGGGUGGCGGGCCGGCGACGAUCUGGGAGGACCUUGUGUCGUACGCGGGGCUGAUACUGGAUGGCUUCCUCCUUCCGCAGGUCAUCCUGAACGCGUCGUUAGGAAAAUCCAAAGUUCGGGCGAUAUCGCCGUGGUUCUACAUAGGGAGCACCAUGGUCCGUGUGGCGCCUCAUGUGUACGAUGUGGCCAGAGUCCAUGUCUACAAGCCGAGCAUGCACUCGUCCGACCUGUACGCGAGCCCCCAUGGCGACUUCUUCGGUGUCGCGUGGGACGUGGUUAUACCUUGCGGGGCGGCGCUGCUGGCCUUGUUGAUGUUCUUGCAGCAGCGGCUCGGAGGCACCGCAUCGCUUCCUUCGGAGAGGAGAUCGGGUGGAUAUGAGAUGGUCUCUAACAUUUAG
RNAcentral lists this ribosomal RNA (2745 nucleotides) under Triticum aestivum (bread wheat). RNAcentral describes it as "partial small subunit ribosomal RNA". Lineage: Eukaryota; Viridiplantae; Streptophyta; Magnoliopsida; Poales; Poaceae. The record is from RNAcentral.